This 87-nucleotide microRNA precursor is filed under the name Megaselia scalaris. Its description in RNAcentral is "mir-276 microRNA precursor family". It matches the Rfam family "mir-276 microRNA precursor family". Lineage: Eukaryota; Metazoa; Arthropoda; Insecta; Diptera; Phoridae. The record is from Rfam by way of RNAcentral.
AUAUAGUUUUGCCAUAAGCGAGGUAUAGAGUUCCUACGUUUUAGUUAAUUUUGUAGGAACUUAAUACCGUGCUCUUGGAGAAUUAUA